This 773-nucleotide long non-coding RNA is filed under the name Malus domestica (apple). RNAcentral's name for it is "long non-coding RNA (MDOM_LNC002818)". The record is from RNAcentral. Lineage: Eukaryota; Viridiplantae; Streptophyta; Magnoliopsida; Rosales; Rosaceae.
AUAUAUAUGUAUACAUGAGGAAAUUUAAAACAAUGAAAAUCCAUUUAAACUCCUCCAUUCUUAUUCUUUCCUUAUGUACAUCUGGAAUCUACAACAACCCAAACCCAAUUUUUUCCAUUCCUAAAUUGAUCCAAUGUAUAUAAUAAGUUGAGGAAAUUUGUUGUGAUUAAAUACAAAUUAGUAUCAAUGGUUUUAUUGGCUUGUGAGACUUGUGGGGCAUAGGCAAGGCAAUGCAGGCAUCGUUUUGUCCAGGAAUUUGGUUGAUGCAAAUGUAGAGACUGUAGAUUGAGCGGGCUAUGUGUGAACAUAGCAACUGCACGCCUACACCCUUCUGUAGUCAACUUCUUUUCUUCUUUUUAUUUUUCCUUUUCCUUUUAUUGUUAUAUACUAGUCUUGAUUAUCCACACGGGCAAAUGCACUAUAAGGCCAGUAUAGGUCAAGGCUCAUCCUCACUCUUUUAGCCUUUCUAAAUAUUUAUAUUUUUAUUGUUAUAUAUUAGUCUUGAUUAUCCACAGGGACGGAGGCACUAUAAGGCCAAUAUAUGGAUGACAAUUCAAACCAUUAAACCUGAUAACCGUGGAUAACUGCCCGAAUGGAACGGAUUUGGGAAUAAAAAUUCGAUUAUAUUUUGGAAAUGGGGAAAAACUAGAUAAAUUAUUCGGUUAUGAUUUCAGAUAUGGUUAUAGGGGUCUCCAAUCCGUAUCUUUCCCCGAGACCAACUGGAAUAAUACAUAUUAUAUACAUAGUAUAUAAAUUAUAUAUAAUAAAUAUAG